CAAUUGAAGGACCUGGGUAUUCAAGAUUCGUUCAUUGCAACCAACCGCGUAUGCACUGGAAAAAGCCCUUGAAGUAUUGCUCAAACUAUAUAUCCACAACAAAGUAUAACGUUGUCACCUUCCUGCCUAAGGCGCUCUUUGAGCAGUUCCGGCGGGUUGCUAAUAUCUACUUCCUUUUGGCUGCAAUUCUUUCACUUACACCCGUUGCCCCAUUCUCUGCUGUGAG
RNAcentral lists this unclassified non-coding RNA (226 nucleotides) under Hevea brasiliensis (rubber tree). The record is from RNAcentral. Lineage: Eukaryota; Viridiplantae; Streptophyta; Magnoliopsida; Malpighiales; Euphorbiaceae.